This 465-nucleotide ribosomal RNA is filed under the name uncultured bacterium. RNAcentral's name for it is "partial 16S ribosomal RNA". It matches the Rfam family "Bacterial small subunit ribosomal RNA", at positions 28 to 507 of the family's 1533-position model. The record is from RNAcentral.
GACGAACGCUGGCGGCGUGCUUAACACAUGCAAGUCGAACGGAAAGACCCCUAUGGGGGUACUCUAGUGGCGAACGGGUGAGUAACACGUGAGUAACCUGCCCUUGACUUCGGGAUAACGUCAGGAAACUGGGGCUAAUACCGGUUAGGAAUCCUUGCUGCAUGGGGGGGGUUGGAAAGCUUCGGCGGUUUUGGAUGUACUCGCGGCUUAUCAGCUUGUUGGUGUGGUAGUGGCUUACCAAGGCUUUGACGGGUAGCCGGCCUGAGAGGGCGACCGGCGACCUUGGGACUGAGAUAAGGCCCAGAUUCCUACGGGAGGAAGCAGUGGGGAAUAUUGAACAAGGGGCGGAAGCUGGAUGAAGCAGCGCUGCGUGCGGGAUGACGGUCUUAGGGUUGUAAACCGCUUUCAGCAGGGGCGAAGCUUGUGGUGACGGUACCUGAAGAAGAAGCACCGGCUAACUACGUG